ACAGGUUUGCUGUUUAAAGAUUUCCUUUGGCUCUCAGCAGAUAAGAGGCCAAUAUACUCAAACUCUUAUCUACUGCAGUGAAUACAUUAAGUGGCAUUGAUAAGGUUGGAAAUGUGGCAUAGGCAUAUUGAGUCUAAUGGCUUGUUAAGUGCAUGUGUCAGCUUCUUCUUUCUGAAAACUUCAGGAAGAACUGCAUGCUCCUGAUAAAUUUAUUUAAAUUGCCACCCUUGACACACAAACAGAAUAGAAUACCUUAAUUAGAGUAAGAAAGUUGUUCACUUUCCUGCGUCACUAAUGGAGAUUGACAGAGGACUUACUUAGAGAGUUAUAAAUAGAAUUUAGGCUGCUGUGAGGAAAAGAGAAACCAAAAUGAUACCAGCUGUACCAGGAGAAGAACUGAAGAGGCAUCCAAGGAUGUUUUCCUAGUCAUCAAUUCCCAGGUCUUCACUAUUUUUAGGGGCUGACAGUUUUAUAAAUAAGUCAGCAAGGGCUUUUCCACCUUACCUUAAUCUGCUAUGAGUUGCUGGUUUGAGCUCAAGUGGUGACAAUUCAAAGAAGAACAUUCAUGGGGCUAUGUUUUCAACAGAACUGGUGAAACCAUAUCCACACAGGCUAUGGAAGCAGACUCAGCAGACUUGCUGUUCAAAAGACCAUUCCUAAGGAUUUUUAAGAAUUUUUUUUCUGUUGAAAAAAAAAAAACCUGUAUUUCCAAUCUCAUCUGCAUGUACUGCCACAACAUACUGGAUGUAAAUAAAUUUAAAGAGAUUGUGGACGGUAAGGUCUUGUGGAAGGAUCUACUUCAUGGAUGGCAUCUGCUACUGUGCACAUUCAUUCAUUCAUUGAUGUUAAACAUGUUCUUCACAACCCAGAAUUCAGAGGUGACUUUUGCACAUAUUAAUUUAAAAUAUCUUCUACAAAUGUUAUGCAAGAAUGUCCUCUGGUUUAGUGCUCUUUGUCCUCCAUGUACCCGCUUUUACUGAUGUCUAUCCUCCUUUUUAACAAUCAAAGAAUAGCCAGCCUAUCCAGGUCUAAUUUAUAGCUGCUUUUCAGACAAAACACAUAUUUCACUCCAGGGCAUACUCCUGGCGUUUGUUUUGUUUUCGUCUUUUCCUGUAAUGCAUGACUUGCUUUAUUGUACCAUCUUGUAGUCUGUUGUUCUCAACCUUCUUCAAGUUCUGACCCUAUUUUAUAAUAAUGAAGUAACCUGCAAUCCCCCUGCAGCGUUCACGUAAAUAGUUGCCUGACGUGGAGACACUGGCAAUGUUGGUGCUGCUUGAACUCCUACUAUUCCUCCUGCCAACUCCAGCCCCACCACUUUAAAACUAGGGAGGGGAAAAUAGGCUGCUUCAAAAGGCCAAGAAAUAGAUUAUUUGACAGGGGCUACAACAACACAUAUAAGGUGACUUUCCCCCCCCCCAGAAAACACUUUGCAAUUCCCUUGGGGGUCCCAGCCCUCAGGUUGGGAAACUCUGAUCUAAAUUUAUAUAAUUUGCUGGCAUAUCCUGUCAUGAAUCUGCUUGUGGACGAUGCUGGCUAAGAUUAUUACAUUGAUGAGGCAGGGGAGUGAUCAGCCAAGCUUGGCCAUUUCCAGAUUCUUUUAUGUUUUUUUGUUUGAUCUGGUUUGGAUUUUGUUCUAAAUGUCCGCCCCUGGUAAAGAGAUACAUGAAAGGAGACAUUAGUGUAUGCUCUCUGAAGAAAGCAGGAGAUCUUGUAAACAUAUGGUCUUUUGCUCCAUGAUGUAUCAUUAAGCCCUGUUAAUGCUGCUGACCUUUGAACUGGAAAUUUACCAGACGCCCUCAAGGCGACAAACUGUGCUGUGUAUGGGUGUGUUUGUGGUUUACAUGCUUCUGCAACACUGGCUUCACUUCUAGAGCCCCAAGGCAAUAAACAGCUUGUUCAUGAUUUCCGUUUCA
This is a long non-coding RNA of Pogona vitticeps (central bearded dragon), 1913 nucleotides long. The record is from Ensembl. NCBI's taxonomy places the organism in Eukaryota, Metazoa, Chordata, Lepidosauria, Squamata, Agamidae.